UACGUAGGUGGCAAGCGUUGUUCGGAUUUACUGGGCGUAAAGGAUGCGUAGGCGGAUACUUAAGUCAGAUGUGAAAAUCCCGGGCUUAACUUGGGAACUGCAUUUGAAACUGGGUAUCUAGAGUGCGGGAGAGGAAAGCGGAAUUCCUAGUGUAGCGGUGAAAUGCGUAGAGAUUAGGAAGAACACCAGUGGCGAAGGCGGCUUUCUGGACCGUAACUGACGCUGAGGCAUGAAAGCGUGGGGAGCAAACAGG
This 253-nucleotide ribosomal RNA is filed under the name uncultured bacterium. RNAcentral describes it as "partial 16S ribosomal RNA". It matches the Rfam family "Bacterial small subunit ribosomal RNA", at positions 524 to 776 of the family's 1533-position model. The record is from RNAcentral.